Molecule: ribosomal RNA, 260 nt
Filed under: uncultured archaeon
Lineage: Archaea
Description: partial 16S ribosomal RNA
Rfam family: Archaeal small subunit ribosomal RNA
Source: RNAcentral
CAGCCGUAAACAAUGUGCGUUAGGUGUGUCGGUAACCACGUGUUACUGAUGCGCCGAAGAGAAAUCGUGAAACGCACCACCUGGGAAGUACGGUCGCAAGGCUGAAACUUAAAGGAAUUGGCGGGGGAGCACCACAACAGGUGGAGCCUGCGGUUUAAUUGGAUUCAACGCCGGACAUCUCACCGGAUAAGACAGCUGAAUGAUUGUCAAUCUGAAGGUUUACAUGACUAGCUGAGAGGUGGUGCAUGGCGUCAGUGACU